CAAAGAAUAGUUUAAAAAAAACCUCAGUUUUGGGUAUUGAAAAUAGUUCACUUUUUUUGA
This 60-nucleotide transfer RNA is filed under the name Stygobromus allegheniensis. RNAcentral's name for it is "tRNA-Pro". The record is from RNAcentral. Lineage: Eukaryota; Metazoa; Arthropoda; Malacostraca; Amphipoda; Crangonyctidae.